Molecule: ribosomal RNA, 253 nt
Filed under: uncultured bacterium
Lineage: Bacteria
Description: partial 16S ribosomal RNA
Rfam family: Bacterial small subunit ribosomal RNA
Source: RNAcentral
UACGUAGGGUGCAAGCGUUAAUCGGAAUUACUGGGCGUAAAGCGUGCGCAGGCGGCGCUGUAAGUCAGGUGUGAAAUCCCCGGGCUUAACCUGGGAACUGCAUUUGUGACUGCAUCGCUGGAGUGCGGCAGAGGGGGAUGGAAUUCCGCGUGUAGCAGUGAAAUGCGUAGAUAUGCGGAGGAACACCGAUGGCGAAGGCAAUCCCCUGGGCCUGCACUGACGCUCAUGCACGAAAGCGUGGGGAGCAAACAGG